Molecule: transfer RNA, 64 nt
Filed under: Tenebrionoidea sp. 19 KM-2017
Lineage: Eukaryota; Metazoa; Arthropoda; Insecta; Coleoptera
Description: tRNA-Pro
Source: RNAcentral
CAGAAAAUAGUUUAUUUAAAAUAUUAAUUUUGGAGAUUAAAGAUGAAGUUAUUUUUUUUUCUGA